Brachypodium distachyon (stiff brome) is the source of this 126-nucleotide non-coding RNA. The record is from Rfam. Lineage: Eukaryota; Viridiplantae; Streptophyta; Magnoliopsida; Poales; Poaceae.
AAGCUACUCCCUCCGUUCCAUAAUUCUUGUCGAAAUAUUACAUGUAUGUAGACGUUUUUUAGGAAUAGAUACAUCCAUUUUUUUUGCAAAUUUGAGACAAGAAUUAUGGAACGAAGGGAGUAAUAC